CCUACGGGAGGCUGCAGUGAGGAAUAUUGGUCAAUGGACGAGAGUCUGAACCAGCCAAGUAGCGUGAGGGAUGACUGCCCUAUGGAUUGUAAGCUUCUUUUAUAUGGGAGUAAAAGAUUCCACGUGUGGGAUUUUGUAUGUCCCAUAUGAAUAAGGAUCGGGUAACUCCGUGCCAGCAGCCGCGGUAAUACGGAGGAGCCGAGCGUUAUCCGGAUUUAUUGGGUGUAAAGGGAGCGUAGGUGGAGUGUUAGGUCAGUUGUGAAAGUGUGGGGCUCAACCGUACGAGUGCAGUUGAAACUGGCCGGCUUGAGUGCAGGAGAGGUAGGUGGAAUUCGUGGUGUAGCGGUGAAAUGCUUAGAUAUCACGAAGAACGCCGAUUGCGAAGGCAGUUCACUGGACUGCAACUGACGCUGAGGCUCGAAAGUGUGGGUAUCAAACAGGAUUAGAUACCCGAGUAGUC
Molecule: ribosomal RNA, 460 nt
Filed under: uncultured bacterium
Lineage: Bacteria
Description: partial 16S ribosomal RNA
Rfam family: Bacterial small subunit ribosomal RNA
Source: RNAcentral